UCCGGUUUGUCACCGGCAGUCCCAUUAGAGUGCUCAACUGAAUGUAGCAACUAAUGGCAAGGGUUGCGCUCGUUGCGGGACUUAACCCAACAUCUCACGACACGAGCUGACGACAGCCAUGCAGCACCUGUGUCCAGGUUCCCUUUCGGGGAGGAAUCCAUCUCUGGAAGCCGUCGUGGCAUGUCAAGGGCUGGUAAGGUUCUUCGCGUUGCGUCGAAUUAAACCACAUGCUCCACCGCUUGUGCGGGCCCCCGUCAAUUCAUUUGAGUUUUAAUCUUGCGACCGUACUCCCCAGGCGGUCAACUUAUCGCGUUAGCUGCGCCACCAAGGACACGAAGGUCCCCAACGGCUAGUUGACAUCGUUUACGGCGUGGACUAC
RNAcentral lists this unclassified non-coding RNA (379 nucleotides) under uncultured Pseudomonadota bacterium. RNAcentral describes it as "uncultured proteobacterium contains 16S-23S intergenic spacer region". Lineage: Bacteria; Pseudomonadati; Pseudomonadota. The record is from RNAcentral.